This 77-nucleotide transfer RNA is filed under the name Flavobacteriaceae bacterium. Its description in RNAcentral is "tRNA-Asp". It matches the Rfam family "tRNA". From Rfam's summary of the family: Transfer RNA (tRNA) molecules are approximately 80 nucleotides in length. Lineage: Bacteria; Pseudomonadati; Bacteroidota; Flavobacteriia; Flavobacteriales; Flavobacteriaceae. The record is from RNAcentral.
GAUCCGGUAGUUCAGUUGGUUAGAAUGCCGCCCUGUCACGGCGGAGGUCGCGGGUUCGAGUCCCGUCCGGAUCGCCA